CUCAAUCUUUGCUUUCCCCCACAUCCCAACAAAUCUCCUCUUACACGCUCUCGCUGUUUCUCUCUAUCUGUCUCUCUCUCUGAGCUAGCUAAGCUGCUCUUCUCAGCUUCUAGGGUUUCUUUUCUUUUCCUUCUCCUUUACCAGGGAGCUGAAACGUCACCAAAACCUUCUUCUUAAUCGUGCACAUUUUACCUUUUAAUCUCCACAUUUCACCUCCAUUAUCGCUUUGUAUCUUCAAACGAAAUCCAAGCCCCUCCACACCACCAAUACCAAUCGA
RNAcentral lists this unclassified non-coding RNA (277 nucleotides) under Hevea brasiliensis (rubber tree). The record is from RNAcentral. Lineage: Eukaryota; Viridiplantae; Streptophyta; Magnoliopsida; Malpighiales; Euphorbiaceae.